RNAcentral lists this ribosomal RNA (570 nucleotides) under Vibrio sp. HI00D65. Its description in RNAcentral is "bacterial SSU rRNA". It matches the Rfam family "Bacterial small subunit ribosomal RNA", at positions 1 to 550 of the family's 1533-position model. The record is from RNAcentral. Lineage: Bacteria; Pseudomonadati; Pseudomonadota; Gammaproteobacteria; Vibrionales; Vibrionaceae.
AAAUUGAAGAGUUUGAUCAUGGCUCAGAUUGAACGCUGGCGGCAGGCCUAACACAUGCAAGUCGAGCGGAAACGAGUUAUCUGAACCUUCGGGGAACGAUAACGGCGUCGAGCGGCGGACGGGUGAGUAAUGCCUAGGAAAUUGCCUUGAUGUGGGGGAUAACCAUUGGAAACGAUGGCUAAUACCGCAUAAUGCCUACGGGCCAAAGAGGGGGACCUUCGGGCCUCUUGCGUCAAGAUAUGCCUAGGUGGGAUUAGCUAGUUGGUGAGGUAAUGGCUCACCAAGGCGACGAUCCCUAGCUGGUCUGAGAGGAUGAUCAGCCACACUGGAACUGAGACACGGUCCAGACUCCUACGGGAGGCAGCAGUGGGGAAUAUUGCACAAUGGGCGAAAGCCUGAUGCAGCCAUGCCGCGUGUAUGAAGAAGGCCUUCGGGUUGUAAAGUACUUUCAGUUGUGAGGAAGGGGGUGUCGUUAAUAGCGGCAUCUCUUGACGUUAGCAACAGAAGAAGCACCGGCUAACUCCGUGCCAGCAGCCGCGGUAAUACGGAGGGUGCGAGCGUUAAUCGGAA